Long non-coding RNA from Ruditapes philippinarum (Manila clam), 1474 nucleotides. RefSeq lists it as uncharacterized. NCBI's taxonomy places the organism in Eukaryota, Metazoa, Mollusca, Bivalvia, Venerida, Veneridae. The transcript has 5 exons. The record is from RefSeq and is a predicted model, not a curated record.
GGCGUGUUGUCGCGAUGUCACAUUAUCGCUCGUUUUUGGGGGCGCAUGCGCAAUGCGCCCCCAAUGGAAUAACGACAAAUUCAGAUUUACUAUGGUUUGAACACAAUUAGUCAGCUACCUACGCUAAGCAAAAAAUAGUUCCAAAACUUCGCAGUAACUCCCAAAAUCAUAGUUCCCUAUCUAUUUUAAAAUUAACUGGCCAAUUACGUACUAAAUUUUGCAAUCGUCUUUUAAAAUUGUAUGUAUAUUUUUGCUUUACGCGAUUUUAAUAUUACUACGCCAGCGGUCGAUCAUAGCCAAAGUACUUGCAUAAAUAUAGUACAAAUUACAUGUAGUCACAAGUUAAUUAAGUGUCAUAGAACUCAAAAAUUUAGCAAGUAAUGGAAUACGGAUUUCAGAUCAGCUAAGUUAAAAGCUUAUAGGGCCUAAUGCUUCAUUUAUAAGUGUAAAUUUAAGAAAAACAUUGCAUGCGUAUGAAUACGAACUAUUUUCGCCCUUGUGCCAUAUAUGUCAUUUUCCCGCAAUCGCCAUUGUUUACAAGUUCAUCCGUGAAAGAUUGAGAAGUUUUGCUGUUAAUAUAGAAGUUCCACGUGUUAAAACGAGUUGUGUGUGAUUAAAGGCUUGUUUGUUAGAUUUCAAUUGUGGUACAGUUGGUUGUUUGCUGAGAAGCUGUGAAACAUAAUUAUACAGGCCGUUAAGUGGUACCAAAAAGAUGGUAAAUUGGUAGUGUUCAGUUCCGGGCAAACAUUUUCUUCAAGAGGUUUUUGUCAGAUUGAUGAGUGUGAAAUUAAGAGGACUCAUUUUGAGAAUGCAUCAAGAGAGAUAAAGUCUAAAAUGUGAUACUGUCAAUGUGACUAACCUUGAAGUAAACAGAUGACACAAUGUUUUUUCAAUGUCAUGGGCAUAUAAUGAAGAGAAAACAGAGAUGCUUGUUUGACAGAUACAGUAAUACUAAUAGUAGGAGUUAUGAGGAAGAUUGCAGUGAUAACUAUAUUGAGGCACCACUUCAUCACCAAGAACAUGAGAUGACUUAUCAAUGUUUUCAAUGUGUUUGAACACCCACUUUAAAUAAUACAGCUCAGAGUGAAUUUUUCAAAAUAAUUAAUUCUGUUUUCAAAGUUUUUUAUUUAGAUGUUAGUUGAUCUUGUCAAGUACUUUAUUUUUUUUAGGGAUGGCAACAAAUACUAAAAUCAAUGCUCGAGUACUCGGUCAUUUUUCAGAUCGAGUAUUCGGUUACUCGGAUGAUUUCCAAUGAUCUUUUAAAUUUUUAACACACAAUAUCAACACCGUCUGCAUGCUAUCUUCAUUUUCUAUUUUAAUUCAUAGAAUUAGUAGCUAUAAAUAGGAUUGCAAGAAAUACAUAUAAUAAAUAUAAACAUAAGAAAUGUCAAUGACAGCAUUUAUUAUAUACCUAUAAAUUUUCUUCCUAAAACACAGGAUAAUCUUGAAGCGCAAAUAGGUUUCAACGGUUAGA